Molecule: transfer RNA, 82 nt
Filed under: Takifugu rubripes (torafugu)
Lineage: Eukaryota; Metazoa; Chordata; Actinopteri; Tetraodontiformes; Tetraodontidae
Description: tRNA-Leu (TAA) (tRNA-Leu-TAA-5-1)
Rfam family: tRNA
About the family: Transfer RNA (tRNA) molecules are approximately 80 nucleotides in length. Their secondary structure includes four short double-helical elements and three loops (D, anti-codon, and T loops).
Source: RNAcentral
GUUGUUGUGGCCGAGUGGUUAAGGCGAUGGACUUAAAAUCCAUUGGGGUCUUCAUGCGUAGGGUCGAAUCCUGCCAUCAAUG